Molecule: long non-coding RNA, 264 nt
Filed under: Phoenix dactylifera (date palm)
Lineage: Eukaryota; Viridiplantae; Streptophyta; Magnoliopsida; Arecales; Arecaceae
Description: long non-coding RNA (PDAC_LNC009685)
Source: RNAcentral
UAUCUAAGUAAGUAAGUGAGUGAGGAAGUUAGAUAACAAAGAGCAUCACAAACACAACAAAAGUAUAGUGGUUCGGUGCAUCCCAGCACCAACAUCUACUCCCCAAGACCUCUUGGAAAUUUUACUAUAAUCCCUCAGAUUACAGCCGGUUGUUUUACAAGCUCACAACCCAACUUGUUGUUUUGCGAGAUCACAACGAACUCGGUCGGUUUUCACAGGCUCACCGACUAGAACCAACCGAUUGUUUUCACGGGCUCACAAUCC